CGAGGUCAGUUUAACCUCCUCACAGUCCCGUCUCCCGCUGCCUUUACAGUUUGCGAAGGGGAUAGGGGAGGGGGAUUCAGGAUCAGAAACUUGGGUGAAGCCCAUUCUUCAGUGGCAGCCUUCAUAUGUCUGCUCAGGACUAUAUUUUUUCAGAAUCAUGUCAGGGGUUUGAAAGGAGGUGUCCAGAGCGCCCGGGCCGAGGAAACAGAGGAGCUGGGGCAGGUUGAUGCCUUUAGUUAAAUGAUGGUGGCACGCAGAGGGAUUGCUUUGGGAAGUUGUCAUCCAUCAUGAUUUUAGAAUGACUCAAAGCUGCACUCGGCUUUUUGGGGUUAUGGUCUGCGAUCUGUGAUUGAUGUGAAAUGUGUGUGUUUGUUGUGUGUUGGAGAGAGGAGUGAAAAAGAGACUGUGUGUAUUUAUUUGCUGAAAUAAGUUAAGAUUGCCCUGUAGUUAAAGACUUCUUCUGGAGAAGUUUAAUUUCUUCUCUUUUUGUUUGUUUUGUUUUGUUAAAGAAGCUGAUGGAUUAAAGUCACUCAAAAUCAAAUGAUAACGACUCUCACAAUGUGGCAAAUUGUCUAUACCUACUCAUUGUUAAACGCAGUUCAUCGCAUGCCUUUUCCUGUGCAUGCGUCUGUCCGCUGUUGUAUUUCUUUUUUUUUGUUUUAUGUCUGUCCCAUUUGGAUCUUUAGCCAUCAGAAUUGUUGUCUGAGGCCAAGAAAGAUGCCUGGCAGAUUUACUUUACCAAGUGCAUCAUCAUGGCCUUGCCAUAUUGGUCCAUUGGAUUGACAUUUAUUUUAAUUAUGUAUUUAUUUUAAUUUUAUUUUCGGUUGUUACAGACGGGACAGACAUGACUGGGGGAUAGGACAGGGAGAAAGAAAGAAUGAAAGAAAGAGAGGGAGGGAGAGAAAGAAAAAUAGAGCAGAGAAGAGAUGUUGAGAAAGGGGGGGAAAAAAAGAAAAACAAACAAACAAAAAAAGAUGUUUUAUUUGUUUAAGCUGAAGCAUCUUGUCUGUCUUUUCCUUUCUCCUGCUUCUUUUUCCAGGUCCAAGUCUCACCCAAGUUAAUUCUUCAAUUAGUGCGAUCCCAAUAUUCUGGAGAGAUCAUGGAGAGGGGCUCUUCCAAUCAAUGUCCAAUUAACCAGGCUCUCAGAGAAGACGGGGGAUGACCGCUCAAGCAGUUUUAGAAAAGACAGGGUUAGGGUGAAGGCAGA
Molecule: long non-coding RNA, 1207 nt
Organism: Astatotilapia calliptera (eastern happy)
Lineage: Eukaryota; Metazoa; Chordata; Actinopteri; Cichliformes; Cichlidae
Source: Ensembl